Molecule: ribosomal RNA, 642 nt
Filed under: uncultured bacterium
Lineage: Bacteria
Description: bacterial SSU rRNA
Rfam family: Bacterial small subunit ribosomal RNA
Source: RNAcentral
UNUGCUGUGAAAGGCUGGGGCUUAACCCUGGUUUUGCAGUGGNUACGGGCUAACUAGAGUGCUGUAGGGGAGACUGGAAUUCCUGGUGUAGCGGUGGAAUGCGCAGAUAUCAGGAGGAACACCGAUGGCGAAGGCAGGUCUCUGGGCUGUAACUGACGCUGAGAAGCGAAAGCAUGGGGAGCGAACAGGAUUAGAUACCCUGGUAGUCCAUGCCGUAAACGUUGGGCACUAGGCGUGGGGGACAUUCCACGUUUUCCGCGCCGUAGCUAACGCAUUAAGUGCCCCGCCUGGGGAGUACGGCCGCAAGGCUAAAACUCAAAGAAAUUGACGGGGGCCCGCACAAGCGGCGGAGCAUGCGGAUUAAUUCGAUGCAACGCGAAGAACCUUACCAAGGCUUGACAUAUACUGGACUGCGUCAGAGAUGGCGUUUCCCUUCGGGGCUGGUAUACAGGUGGUGCAUGGUUGUCGUCAGCUCGUGUCGUGAGAUGUUGGGUUAAGUCCCGCAACGAGCGCAACCCUCGUUCUAUGUUGCCAGCACGUGAUGGUGGGGACUCAUAGGAGACUGCCGGGGUCAACUCGGAGGAAGGUGGGGAUGACGUCAAAUCAUCAUGCCCCUUAUGUCUUGGGCUUCACGCAUGCUAC